UGUUUGCACUUAGCGGGAAGGGUAAGAACCUUCGACUAAGGUUCGACUCGAGCGCCAGCGAGAGAACGUUGCCGCAGGCAACGGCCCGAAGGGCGAGGCGUAGCCGAGUCAUCCUCCCGGAUGCACCA
RNAcentral lists this small RNA (128 nucleotides) under Pseudomonas aeruginosa. RNAcentral describes it as "RtT sRNA". It matches the Rfam family "RtT RNA". From Rfam's summary of the family: This family represents a bacterial cis-regulatory element known as RtT RNA. The exact function of RtT is unknown although it is thought that it may be involved in changing the cellular response in relation to amino acid starvation. The record is from RNAcentral. Lineage: Bacteria; Pseudomonadati; Pseudomonadota; Gammaproteobacteria; Pseudomonadales; Pseudomonadaceae.